GGGCUGGGAGCCUGUCGCACCAAGAGUGAGUGUGAGCAUCUGUCAGCAGAAACACAGAUCCUUCACCACCCACCAUGGAGCCCCAGGUGCCGGGACGGAUGCCCAGGGCUGGACUCCUGCUGCUGCCCCUUCUCCUCUGCUUCGGGCCAGAGACCACCAGGAGCAUCAACCCGGCCGCGCUCA
Molecule: long non-coding RNA, 183 nt
Organism: Trachemys scripta elegans
Lineage: Eukaryota; Metazoa; Chordata; Testudines; Emydidae
Exons: 2
Source: RefSeq, a predicted model, not a curated record